RNAcentral lists this ribosomal RNA (462 nucleotides) under uncultured bacterium. RNAcentral's name for it is "partial 16S ribosomal RNA". It matches the Rfam family "Bacterial small subunit ribosomal RNA", at positions 28 to 507 of the family's 1533-position model. The record is from RNAcentral.
GAUGAACGCUGACAGAAUGCUUAACACAUGCAAGUCUUUGGCGAAGCUGUGCUUGCACAGCCUAGCCAAGGCGGACGGGUGAGUAACGCGUAAGGAACUUGCCCGCCAGUCAGGAAUACCAGACGAAAACGACUGAUAGGACCGGGAAAGUUCAGGCGAACUCAUUUCCGGCCUGUGGAAAAGGGAUGCUGCAGGAGAGCCUUGCGUCCAAUUAGCUUGUUGUUGGGGUAACGGCCCACCAAGGCGAUGAUAGGUAGCCGGCCUGAGAGGGUGGACGGCCACAAGGGGACUGAGAUACGGCCCUUACUCCUACGGGAGGCAGCAGUGGGGAAUAUUGGACAAUGGGGGCAACCCUGAUCCAGCAAUUCUGUGUGCACGAUGAAGGUUUUCGGAUUGUAAAGUGCUUUCAGCAGGGAAGAAAAAAUGACGGUACCUGCAGAAGAAGCGACGGCUAAAUACGUG